UUAGGCGUUGUUGGGUAGGGGAGCGUUCUGUAAGCCGUUGAAGGUGGCCUGUGAGGGUUGCUGGAGGUAUCAGAAGUGCGAAUGCUGACAUAAGUAACGAUAAAGCGGGUGAAAAGCCCGCUCGCCGGAAGACCAAGGGUUCCUGUCCAACGUUAAUCGGGGCAGGGUGAGUCGACCCCUAAGGCGAGGCUGAAAAGCGUAGUCGAUGGGAAACAGGUUAAUAUUCCUGUACUUGGUGUUACUGCGAAGGGGGGACGGAGAAGGCUAGGCUAGCCGGGCGACGGUUGUCCCGGUUUAAGCGUGUAGGGGGUGUGACCUGGUAAAUCCGGUU
This 331-nucleotide ribosomal RNA is filed under the name Serratia nevei. Its description in RNAcentral is "partial 23S ribosomal RNA". It matches the Rfam family "Bacterial large subunit ribosomal RNA", at positions 1214 to 1547 of the family's 2925-position model. Lineage: Bacteria; Pseudomonadati; Pseudomonadota; Gammaproteobacteria; Enterobacterales; Yersiniaceae. The record is from RNAcentral.